This 73-nucleotide transfer RNA is filed under the name Mus musculus (house mouse). RNAcentral describes it as "tRNA-Asn". The record is from RNAcentral. Lineage: Eukaryota; Metazoa; Chordata; Mammalia; Rodentia; Muridae.
GGAGAGAUGGCUCAGUGGUUAAGAGCACUGACUGUUCUUCCAGAGGUCCUGAAUUCAAUUCCCAGAAACCACA